Molecule: ribosomal RNA, 942 nt
Filed under: uncultured bacterium
Lineage: Bacteria
Description: bacterial SSU rRNA
Rfam family: Bacterial small subunit ribosomal RNA
Source: RNAcentral
AGAGUUUGAUCAUGGCUCAGGACGAACGCUGGCGGCGUGCCUAAUACAUGCAAGUCGAGCGAGCGGAACCAACAGAUUUACUUCGGUAAUGACGUUGGGAAAGCGAGCGGCGGAUGGGUGAGUAACACGUGGGGAACCUGCCCCUAAGUCUGGGAUACCAUUUGGAAACAGGUGCUAAUACCGGAUAAUAAAGCAGAUCGCAUGAUCAGCUUUUGAAAGGCGGCGUAAGCUGUCGCUAAGGGAUGGCCCCGCGGUGCAUUAGCUAGUUGGUAAGGUAACGGCUUACCAAGGCGGCGAUGCAUAGCCGAGUUGAGGGACUGAUCGGCCACAUUGGGACUGAGACACGGCCCAAACUCCUACGGGAGGCAGCAGUAGGGAAUCUUCCACAAUGGACGCAAGUCUGAUGGAGCAACGCCGCGUGAGUGAAGAAGGUUUUCGGAUCGUAAAGCUCUGUUGUUGGUGAAGAAGGAUAGAGGUAGUAACUGGCCUUUAUUUGACGGUAAUCAACCAGAAAGUCACGGCUAACUACGUGCCAGCAGCCGCGGUAAUACGUAGGUGGCAAGCGUUGUCCGGAUUUAUUGGGCGUAAAGCGAGCGCAGGCGGAAAAAUAAGUCUAAUGUGAAAGCCCUCGGCUUAACCGAGGAACUGCAUCGGAAACUGUUUUUCUUGAGUGCAGAAGAGGAGAGUGGAACUCCAUGUGUAGCGGUGGAAUGCGUAGAUAUAUGGAAGAACACCAGUGGCGAAAGCGGCUCUCUGGUCUGCAACUGACGCUGAGGCUCGAAAGCAUGGGUAGCGAACAGGAUUAGAUACCCUGGUAGUCUAUGCCGUAAACGAUGAGUGCUAAGUGUUGGGAGGUUUCCGCCUCUCAGUGCUGCAGCUAACGCAUUAAGCACUCCGCCUGGGGAGUACGACCGCAAGGUUGAAACUCAAAGGAAUUGACGG